UCAUAUUUAGUAUAAAAAAUAUAUUAGAUUUAGAUUCUAAAGAUAAAAAUAUGUA
This 55-nucleotide transfer RNA is filed under the name Cooperia oncophora. Its description in RNAcentral is "tRNA-Trp". The record is from RNAcentral. Lineage: Eukaryota; Metazoa; Nematoda; Chromadorea; Rhabditida; Trichostrongylidae.